GUGCAGCAGGCGCGAAACUUUACAAUGUGCGAAAGCACGAUAAGGGAACUCUGAGUGCCUCCUAAGGAGGCUGUUCAGGUGUCUAAAAGCACCUGGAGUAAGGGCUGGGUAAGACCGGUGCCAGCCGCCGCGGUAACACCGGCAGCCCGAGGUGGUAGCCACUUUUAUUGGGUCUAAAGCGUCCGUAGCCGGUUGAGUAAGUUCCUUGGGAAAUUUGGCUGCUCAACAGUCAAGCUUCCAGGGAAUACUGCUCGACUUGGGGACUGGGAGAGGUCAGAGGUACUCCAGGGGUAGGGUGAAAUCCAUUAAUCCCUGGGGGACCACCGGUAGCGAAGGCGUCUGACCAGACCAGGUCCGACGGUGAGGGACGAAGGCUAGGGUCGCGAACCGGAUUAGAUA
RNAcentral lists this ribosomal RNA (399 nucleotides) under uncultured microorganism. Its description in RNAcentral is "bacterial SSU rRNA". It matches the Rfam family "Archaeal small subunit ribosomal RNA", at positions 330 to 735 of the family's 1478-position model. The record is from RNAcentral.